RNAcentral lists this transfer RNA (71 nucleotides) under Caudoviricetes sp. Its description in RNAcentral is "tRNA-Ser". Lineage: Duplodnaviria; Heunggongvirae; Uroviricota; Caudoviricetes. The record is from RNAcentral.
GGAGCAUGUACCAAGGCUGGCGAUAGACACUUGCAAUGUCUGUGUGGUGAGUUCGAUUCUCAUCUUCUCCA